Molecule: ribosomal RNA, 995 nt
Filed under: Leptopilina clavipes
Lineage: Eukaryota; Metazoa; Arthropoda; Insecta; Hymenoptera; Figitidae
Description: SSU rRNA
Rfam family: Eukaryotic small subunit ribosomal RNA
Source: RNAcentral
CCUGGUUGAUCCUGCCAGUAGUCAUAUGCUUGUCUCAAAGAUUAAGCCAUGCAUGUCUAAGUGCAUGCCAAAUUAAGGUGAAACCGCGAAUGGCUCAUUAAAUCAGUUAUGGUUCCUUAGAUCGUACCCACAUUUACUUGGAUAACUGUGGUAAUUCUAGAGCUAAUACAUGCAAACCAGAGUUCCGACCAGAGAUGGAAGGAACGCUUUUAUUAGAUCAAAACCAAUCGGUGGCGGGCUUUGCUCGUCCACCGUUUACUUUGGUGACUCUGAAUAACUUUGUGCUGAUCGCACGGUCUCGUACCGGCGACGCAUCUUUCAAAUGUCUGCCUUAUCAACUGUCGAUGGUAGGUUCUGCGCCUACCAUGGUUGUAACGGGGAACGGGGAAUCAGGGUUCGAUUCCGGAGAGGGAGCCUGAGAAACGGCUACCACAUCCAAGGAAGGCAGCAGGCGCGCAAAUUACCCACUCCCGGCACGGGGAGGUAGUGACGAAAAAUAACGAUACGGGACUCAUCCGAGGCCCCGUAAUCGGAAUGAGUACACUUUAAAUCCUUUAACGAGGAUCAAUUGGAGGGCAAGUCUGGUGCCAGCAGCCGCGGUAAUUCCAGCUCCAAUAGCGUAUAUUAAAGUUGUUGCGGUUAAAAAGCUCGUAGUUGAAUCUGUGUCGCACGCUGUCGGUUCGCCGCUCGCGGUGUUUAACUGACAUGCUCGUGAGACGUCCUACCGGUGGGCUUAGCUCCUUCGGGGGCGGUCCAACUAAUAUCCCAUCGCGGUGCUCUUUAUUGAGUGUCGAGGUGGGCCGGUACGUUUACUUUGAACAAAUUAGAGUGCUUAAAGCAGGCUAUCAUUUGCCUGAAUAUUCUGUGCAUGGAAUAAUGGAAUAGGACCUCGGUUCUAUUUUGUUGGUUUUAAGAAACCCGAGGUAAUGAUUAAUAGGGACAGAUGGGGGCAUUCGUAUUGCGACGUUAGAGGUGAAAUUCUUGGAUCGUCGCAA